This 117-nucleotide ribosomal RNA is filed under the name Candidatus Omnitrophota bacterium. Lineage: Bacteria; Pseudomonadati; Candidatus Omnitrophota. The record is from RNAcentral.
UGGAGUGCUUUUACCGAGGGGGAAACACCCGUUCCCAUUCCGAAUACGGCCGUUAAGCCCCUCAGGGCCGAUGGUAGUUUAGUCGUAAGGCUAUGCGAGAGUAGGUCAGUGCUCCUU